RNAcentral lists this ribosomal RNA (301 nucleotides) under uncultured bacterium. RNAcentral describes it as "partial 16S ribosomal RNA". It matches the Rfam family "Bacterial small subunit ribosomal RNA", at positions 509 to 807 of the family's 1533-position model. The record is from RNAcentral.
CAGCAGCCACGGUAAUACGGAGGGUGCAAGCGUUAAUCGGAAUUACUGGGCGUAAAGCGUGCGCAGGCGGUUAUAUAAGACAGAUGUGAAAUCCCCGGGCUCAACCUGGGAACUGCAUUUGUGACUGUAUAGCUAGAGUACGGCAGAGGGGGAUGGAAUUCCGCGUGUAGCAGUGAAAUGCGUAGAUAUGCGGAGGAACACCGAUGGCGAAGGCAAUCCCCUGGGCCUGUACUGACGCUCAUGCACGAAAGCGUGGGGAGCAAACAGGAUUAGAUACCCCUGUAGUCCCUGUCUCUUAUAC